Molecule: long non-coding RNA, 2078 nt
Filed under: Phaseolus vulgaris (common bean)
Lineage: Eukaryota; Viridiplantae; Streptophyta; Magnoliopsida; Fabales; Fabaceae
Description: long non-coding RNA (PVUL_LNC000280)
Source: RNAcentral
CCGAAUAUACCUACCAUUAUUAAUUUUCUAUAUGUUCCAAGAAAAAUAAUAUAAGUUAAAAUAUUCUAAAAAAACAAGAAACAUCAUAAGAAAUGAGGGUUGAAUUGUGUUCUUAGAAAAAUUGUAGUUUUUUACUUGUAUCAUUUGAUUGAUGAUUUGUCACAAUGUUUUCACCAACAAAAAAGGUUUUGUGUUCUUAGAAAAAUUGUAGUUUUUCACUUGUAUCAUUUGAUUGAUGAUUUGUCACAAUGUUUUCACCAACAAAAAUGGUUUUACACGCUUCCAAUAACAUCUGCAUAAAUGGAUAAGUUCAACACACAACAAAUACAAUUAUAUUAAAUUUAAAGCAUAAUUAUUCAAUAAAUAUUAAACUGAAAAUUUAUUAAAAUUUGAGUAUCAUUAUUUAAAGACGUUAUCUUAGUAUCAAACUGAAAAUUAAUGGUGUAAGAGUGUCAAGUUGUUCUAUGACAUCUGUCAUUAGUUGCAACACUAAAAUCUUGAAAAGAGUACACCUUUCACUCAACAAUGUCGUUCUGGAAUUUGUCCUCCUAACAAAUACAUGAAUUGUAUCUCCUGCAAAAAUGUGUGUGCAAAAUUAAACGAAUAUUAAAAUAGUGUAACAAAAAUAUUAUACUAAAAUACUAUAAUCUUGGAUUAUUUGAGCAUCCAAUUUUUUUCUUUUAAAAUUCACAUAUUAGUAUAUUUAUGAAUCACAAUGAUAUAAAUGAAUGAAUAAAAGAAAAAGAACUAACCACAUAUAUACAUAUAUAUUGAAAAAAAAAGGUAUUACAAAAUAUUAAAUAUAUAUAUAUAGAUAGAUUUCAAAAUUCAAAGUACCGACAAACGAACCAUAAACUAAACAGAACAUUGUUAGAAAAAUAAGGUUUAAAUCCUAUUAAAAAAAAGUAGUAAAAAAUCUAAUACAAAAUUUGAGAAAAAAAAAAAACAAAAACAAUGUCGAAACCAGUUCAGCUCAGAAAAACAAUGUCGAAAUCCCAAAAAAAAUCAAAAGUUGAAAAUAUAGAUGAGAGCGGAAAGAGGUUAAAAAACCUAAAAACUGAGAUCCACCAAAAACAUUUCCAUAGGCAAAAUCCUAAAAAUAUUAAAUAUAUAUAUAUAUAGAUAGAUUUCAAAAUUCAAAUACCGACAAACGAACCAUAAACUAAACAGAACAUUGUUAGAAAAAGAAGGUUUAAAUCCUAUUUAAAAAAUGUCGUUAAAAAUCUAAUACAAAAUUUGAGAAAAAAAAAAGAAAAUCAAUGUCGAAACCAGUUCAGCUCAGGAAAACAAUGUCGAAAUCCCAAAAAAAAUCAAAAGUUGAAAAUAUAGAUGAGAGCGGAAAGAGGUUAAAAAGCCUAAAAACUGAGAUCCACCAAAAACAUUUCCAUAAACAAAAUCCUAAACCCUAAAAACAUAAGAAACGUCCAAAACAUUUUCAGACGGUGAAAAAAGAAAAAUAUUACCACGAAAAGCGUUAUAGAACAAAGAGACGAAGCACAGUUUCAAUAAAAACAUAUCACAAUAACCAAUGUUCCUUUGACAGGCGUACAAAAACAAAACAAAGAUCUUUCGUUGGCGUGGUUGAAGAUAGGUGGAACCAUUUCUAGGAAAAGGUUAGGAUAGAGGAUUGGUUAAAACCUAAAACGACGAUUGGGUUUGACGGAGAAAAGCACAAAGAGCAAAAGCGCAGAGAGUGAGCAUGACAGAGAAAACGAAAACGCACCGUUUGAGAGAAAUGAAUUAUGAUUGAGUGGAUCAGUCGUCAUGUCAAUCAUAGAGGCCUCAACGUGUUUGCGUGUCGGAAAAAAACAAAAACCCUAGCGAAGCGAAAUGGUUGAAAGAGCAUGGAGUGUGAGAUGAGAAAUGGGUAAUUUGUGAGGUGAAGCGCCUUGUGCCACCUCCAAACUACUAGGUAGUUUUUCUUCUUCUCGUAAGUUUUUUUUUUUUUUUUUUUAAUAAAAAUCCUAGAAGUCACACGUGUAAAACUAGGUUGGAAGUAGUUUCUAAUUAUAAUAGAUAGAUAUAAAAUAAAUGUAUUUAAACGCUAGUAACGAAUGUAUUGUAACAUACAAGGGAUA